RNAcentral lists this transfer RNA (72 nucleotides) under Ictidomys tridecemlineatus (thirteen-lined ground squirrel). Its description in RNAcentral is "Spermophilus tridecemlineatus (thirteen-lined ground squirrel) tRNA". It matches the Rfam family "tRNA". Rfam says of the family: Transfer RNA (tRNA) molecules are approximately 80 nucleotides in length. The record is from Rfam by way of RNAcentral. Lineage: Eukaryota; Metazoa; Chordata; Mammalia; Rodentia; Sciuridae.
GGUGAUAUAGCUCAGUGGUAGAGCACUUGCCUACCAUGCAAGAGGCUCUGGGUUCAAUUCCUAGUACCUCAA